Long non-coding RNA from Hyla sarda, 290 nucleotides. RefSeq lists it as uncharacterized. NCBI's taxonomy places the organism in Eukaryota, Metazoa, Chordata, Amphibia, Anura, Hylidae. The record is from RefSeq and is a predicted model, not a curated record. The transcript is spliced from 3 exons.
CCACCAUUAGCUAACUGUUUUCUGUUAGCCACCAUGGUGUGGACUCUGGGGGUCGACGGUGGAUGCUCUGUUCAGAAGGUCACGCAAAAAGUUUUCUGUACUGACGCUCUCCGACCGAGUUACCUGUUCCUGUUACCUUUCCUGACUUAGCCAAACUAUUGUUUUGAGCUCCUGACAGUUGGCAGUGCACAUGGUGAUCUCUGGAUCGUGUGAAGCUGCUCAUCCAUGGGGCUCCAAUCUACCAUUACUAGAGGCAAGUCUAGAGCAUCUGUGAAUGGGUUUAAACUUGC